UCCCUGCAUCGUCCACUGAACGGAACGCAGCUAUUUCCGCCUCCAUCACAACCUCAGAUCGGAUUGCGGAGUGAAAAAGUGAACAGCAGCCCGCGAGACUGUUUUUUUGUCGUCCGCCGAAAAGUGUGUUGGUGGCCUCGCUACGAAAAAUCCUGAGUGAUACGGCCGGAAGACGAGACGCCCAAGAAGAUCUACGCAACACCGUCAACGCCGUAGAAAAUCCGUCACUUCUAGAAAUUCACGACCGCUAGAGGAGUAAGGCUAUUGCAUCGGGUCCAUCGGGUUCAUUCCGCUGGGCAAUAAGCCGACGAAACGACAGCGGCGGCGGCAUCCAGCUGACACGUCACGUGGGGAAACAUCCAAGCAGAAACCGAGGCAGCUCUUGGUUGACUGACAAAUUGAACGGCCAUUUCGCGCGUCAGUAUUCCUUGUUUGAGUGGACAGACACAGUUCCGAGUUUGCACAGAAUCAUCCCCAAUUGUGCGGAAAUUGGCACGAUACAGUACCAUCUCCAAUUGUGCGGUGCCCGUCUCAACCGUUCAGCGACCAGAGCAGCAUUUCCAUCAGUCGAUUCUCCACAGUACAACUCCCUUAGCGUGGCGGGCUCCACCCCAUUACCCCGAAUGCCAUUACCCCGAACGCCACUACCCCGAAUGCCAUUACCCCGAAUAGGCCACUACCCCGAAAGCCAUUACCCCGAAUGGGUCAUUACCCCGAAAGCCAUUUCCCCGAAAGCCAUCACCCCGAAAGCCACUACCCCGAAAGGGCCAUUACCCCGAAUCGUUCAGGAGAUCACCAAAAAAGUGGUGACCGAUUAGAAGUUGAUAAAGGUGGUUGAAGAGGUCUCCAGUUAGCCUAGUGGUUAAGGCUAUGGAUCACCAAUCCGGAGACGGCGGGUUCGAUUCCCGUUCCGGUCGGGGAAAUUUUCUCGACUCCCUGGGCAUAGUGUAUCAUUGUACUUGCCUCACAAUAUACAAAUUCAUGCAAUGGCAGGCAAAGAAAGCCCUUCAAUUAAUAACUGUGGAAGUGCUCAAAGACCACUAAGUAGAAGCGAGGCAGGCCAAGUCCCAGUGGGGACGUAGAGCCAUAAAAAGAAGAAGAAAGGUGGUUAUAAGUUAGAAAAGGGUAAUCAGUAACUAGUGUAGGUAUGAAUACUCUUCUCCAUCCUAUGUUCCUAUGUUAAUUCUAUUCUUAAACAGACGAUUUAGGUAUCGAUUUUUUCCGUUUUCUUUUUGUAACGAGUAAAAAAAAUAUAAAAAUAAAACACAAAUCAAAUAGCUCUUAUUUACUUCGUUGUAGAUAGCAUGACAAUGGGAGCACAUUGUUUAAGAUAGGUUCCGUUUCCCUUAGGUUUCCGUAUGUUGUGCUUCAUGCAAAAGUAAGGUUCGUGAAAACGAAAGCAGCAAACGCAAUGAAAUUAAGAAGACAAGUAAAGACAAAUUUUCAAUAUUUUAAACUAGCUGCUCUUUUGAACGUAUAGCUAUGGCUAUAAAAACUACAAGUAUUUGAAACUGACAUUUUCCCUUCUUUUAAAAGUUGGUUGGCCUCAAGCACGAUUGUAAACUGGUGGCAAACGAUUGUGCUGGUUAUCAAACUACACUUCUUCCAAUAUUUGCCUUCUUUUAAAAAUAGGCUGUUCUUUUGAGUUUGUAGUUUCCAACCGUGAACUAUUGCAGAGUUGUUUGGUAGCCAAACUGUUAGUUUCUUUAUACAAAUGUUUCCUUUUUUUCAUCAGAUGCUGCUCUUUCGAGUUUGAGUGUUACCAGCGGUGUCAUGGUCGCGAUUUUUUCCGCAGUCAAGUUCGCAGAUUGUGAGCAAUCCUCGGUACCCACUUUACGUAAUUUAUGUUUAGUACCUUACUGUCAGAGCUGUCAGAUCGGUGUAACACGCUAAAUAUAAUUCACACAAAAGGCAAUUUACACGGAAAAAUUACACGGUAAUGAAUAUUUAUUGGGUACCGGACUGGACACAGAAAAUUUAAUGGUUUUCUUUGGUACAUCGAGGUCUUGAAAUUAGUCUAUGGUGUUACGUAGUUUAUUUGCAGACGAAUAACUAACUCCAUAGCGGAUUUGUUCUUCUUUGAAUAAUAGGCUGUUCUUUCAAGUAAAAUUUUUCAGAAUUGACUUGCGGCCAAACUGGCAACUAGAUUUCUUUUGAUUUUCUUUUGAGUUUCCAGAACAUCAAGCCCUAAAAUUGUAAUUUUUUUUCAAGAUUGUAGUACUGGACUGGAUUUUAGAUAUUCAGUUCAGUUCACUUAGCAAGGUAGAUCCAGCAUUGUUGGACCAAAUUAACUAUUUUUUUUUUCUGGCGACUAAACUGUAACUUUUCUUUUCAUGAAAGGCUGUUCUUCUAGCUGCACUUAUAUAGUUUACUGGGAGUGAAAGCUGCUUACUGUGUAUGAGAUUUGCCCUUCUUUAAUUUAUAGGCUGUUCUUUCUAGUUACGUCG
Aedes albopictus (Asian tiger mosquito) is the source of this 2447-nucleotide long non-coding RNA. RefSeq lists it as uncharacterized. Lineage: Eukaryota; Metazoa; Arthropoda; Insecta; Diptera; Culicidae. The record is from RefSeq and is a predicted model, not a curated record. The transcript has 3 exons.